GUGGUUAAUGAUGCACACUUUUUUCCCCGUCUUAUCGACUUUGGUGAAAAACGCUGACCAUAGCCAGUUGUGUCUGAAACCAC
RNAcentral lists this small nucleolar RNA (83 nucleotides) under Kryptolebias marmoratus (mangrove rivulus). RNAcentral describes it as "Small nucleolar SNORD12/SNORD106 (ENSKMAG00000006958.1)". It matches the Rfam family "Small nucleolar SNORD12/SNORD106". From Rfam's summary of the family: This family belong to the C/D class of snoRNA which contain the C (UGAUGA) and D (CUGA) box motifs. This family includes the human ortholog of mouse snoRNA HBII-99 and human snoRNA U106. Lineage: Eukaryota; Metazoa; Chordata; Actinopteri; Cyprinodontiformes; Rivulidae. The record is from RNAcentral.